CGGGACGAGACGAUGCACCCACCUCAGAUGUUUCUUUAUAAACGAUCCCUCUAAUCUGCCGGAGAUCACAAUACUCCAGCGUAUUUACACUCGCAGCAGCACACAGUCUGUUCUCUCCUGCACAAAUAUACAGCACCUCGAUUAAGAAAUAAUACAAUUUAGAAAGAGCGGGGUGUUUUAUUCUCUCAUGUUGGGGAAAUAUGCUCUCUAAUCCUCCAGUAUAAGGACCAUCUGUGUAAAUGUGGCUCUGGUGGGACGGGACAGUCACGAUUCUGACAUAUGAAUCCAGUGAUACGGAUGGUUACUGCUGGCGUCAGGACAAUCCACACGCAUUACACAGGAUCCGCUUACUAAACAAGUAAUCAUGAGACAAAGAGUGGAACUACAAAAAUAAAGCAUGUUUUCAGACUACA
Molecule: long non-coding RNA, 413 nt
Organism: Cyprinus carpio (common carp)
Lineage: Eukaryota; Metazoa; Chordata; Actinopteri; Cypriniformes; Cyprinidae
Source: Ensembl